RNAcentral lists this ribosomal RNA (660 nucleotides) under Triticum aestivum (bread wheat). RNAcentral's name for it is "partial small subunit ribosomal RNA". Lineage: Eukaryota; Viridiplantae; Streptophyta; Magnoliopsida; Poales; Poaceae. The record is from RNAcentral.
AUGCACUACAUCCAGGCACGCCUCCACCUCCAGCGCCAGACCGGCCAGCCGGGCCACCUCGGCCCGCGGCCCCAGCCCAUGAAGCCUGCUUCGGUGGCAGCGGCGACCCCGCCGCGGCCGCAGAAGCUCUACCGUGGCGUGCGGCAGCGCCACUGGGGCAAGUGGGUGGCGGAGAUCCGCCUCCCCCGCAACCGCACCCGCCUCUGGCUCGGCACCUUCGACACCGCCGAGGAGGCGGCCCUCGCCUACGACCAGGCAGCCUACCGCCUCCGCGGCGACGCAGCGCGCCUCAACUUCCCCGACAACGCUGCCUCCCGCGGCCCGCUCCAUGCCUCCGUUGACGCCAAGCUCCAGACCCUCUGCCAGAACAUCACCGCCUCCAAGAACGCCAAGAAGUCCGCCUCCGUCUCCGCGUCCACCGCCGCAGCCACGUCGUCCACCCCCACCAGCAACUGCUCCUCGCCGUCCUCCGACGAGGCGUCGUCCUCGCUGGAGUCCGCGGAGUCGUCACCGUCACCCGCCGCCACCACCGCAGCAGAGGUUCCAGAGAUGCAGCAGCUCGACUUCAGCGAGGCGCCAUGGGAUGAGGCAGCCUGCUUCGCCCUCACCAAGUACCCGUCGUACGAGAUCGACUGGGACUCGCUUCUCGCCGCCAAUUAG